Molecule: ribosomal RNA, 301 nt
Filed under: uncultured bacterium
Lineage: Bacteria
Description: partial 16S ribosomal RNA
Rfam family: Bacterial small subunit ribosomal RNA
Source: RNAcentral
CAGUAGCCGCGGGAAUACGUAGGGUGCGAGCGUUAAUCGGAAUUACUGGGUGUAAAGCGUGCGCAGGCGGUCGUGUAAGACAGGUGUGAAAUCCCCGGGCUUAACCUGGGAACUGCGCUUGUGACUGCACAGCUAGAGUAUGGCAGAGGGGGGUGGAAUUCCACGUGUAGCAGUGAAAUGCGUAGAGAUGUGGAGGAACACCGAUGGCGAAGGCAGCCCCCUGGGCCAAUACUGACGCUCAUGCACGAAAGCGUGGGGAGCAAACAGGAUUAGAUACCCCAGUAGUCCCUGUCUCUUAUAA